This 200-nucleotide ribosomal RNA is filed under the name uncultured bacterium. RNAcentral describes it as "partial 16S ribosomal RNA". It matches the Rfam family "Bacterial small subunit ribosomal RNA", at positions 29 to 224 of the family's 1533-position model. The record is from RNAcentral.
AGUGAACGCUGGCGGUAGGCCUAACACAUGCAAGUCGAACGGCAGCACAGGAGAGCUUGCUCUCUGGGUGGCGAAUGGCGGACGGGUGAGGAAUACAUCGGAAUCUACCUUUUCGUGGGGGAUAACGUAGGGAAACUUACGCUAAUACCGCAUACGAUCUAUGGAUGAAAGCGGGGGAGCGUAAGGCCUCGCGCGAUUGG